CACCGGCGGCUCGAGUGGUGGCCACUUUUAUUGGGUCUAAAGCGUCCGUAGCCGGCUUGGCAAGUCCCCUGGGAAAUCUGGCGGCUUAACCGUCAGGCGUCCAGAGGAUACUGCCAGGCUUGGGACCGGGAGAGGUGAGAGGUACCUCAGGGGUAGGGGUGAAAUCCUAUAAUCCCGGGAGGACCACCUGUGGCGAAGGCGCUCGGCUGGAACGCGUCCGACGGUGAGGGACGAAGGCCAGGGGAGCAAACCGG
Molecule: ribosomal RNA, 254 nt
Filed under: uncultured microorganism
Description: partial 16S ribosomal RNA
Rfam family: Archaeal small subunit ribosomal RNA
Source: RNAcentral